This 90-nucleotide transfer RNA is filed under the name Alphaproteobacteria bacterium. RNAcentral's name for it is "tRNA-Ser". It matches the Rfam family "tRNA". Rfam says of the family: Transfer RNA (tRNA) molecules are approximately 80 nucleotides in length. Their secondary structure includes four short double-helical elements and three loops (D, anti-codon, and T loops). The record is from RNAcentral. Lineage: Bacteria; Pseudomonadati; Pseudomonadota; Alphaproteobacteria.
GGAUGGGUGGCCGAGCGGUUUAAGGCACCGGUCUUGAAAACCGGCACACGGGCGACCGUGUCGUGGGUUCGAAUCCCACCCCAUCCGCCA